This is a long non-coding RNA of Felis catus (domestic cat), 1850 nucleotides long. RefSeq lists it as uncharacterized. The record is from RefSeq and is a predicted model, not a curated record. The transcript is spliced from 4 exons. NCBI's taxonomy places the organism in Eukaryota, Metazoa, Chordata, Mammalia, Carnivora, Felidae.
GCCACGUAUAAAUGUGUCUUACCGAGGAAAGGUAUGAUAUUUGUUCAUUUAUUCUUAAUCAUUUCCCCCACCCCAUGAGGUUCUGAACAAUUGCACCAUCUACCUGUGUGAGCAGCUUUCUGUGCUUCUGCGCUACCAGGGAUCCUUAAGCCCAGCAGGCCGGCUGCUCAUCAGAGGCAGCUUUCUUGGACCAUACCUGGUCCUUGGAAAACAGAAUCUAAGACUGAUGCAGGUGCAGGGAGUUUAUUGGAGAGCACUCGAGUUCAGCAUUCAGGGGGAAUGAAGGAAGGUGAACCACAGCACACCUGAGACCAAGGCCUCAGCCUGUUCCAAUGCCUUUAGCGUCUUUAACUGACCAAUCAUCGGAUGGGUGAAUAGGGUGGUGAUCUCUGGGCGAAGGGGUGAUCUUCAGGGCAGGGCAAUUACUGGAAAUGGAUACAACUGAGAACUGUUGGUCAUUAACACACCCGAUAAAUAGGGGAGCUAGGGCUUUGGUCCCAGCCCGGGAUCUGCGCUGGUGUCUCGCACGUUCCAGCGGUCGGUCGGUGGAAGUGGAGCGUAAUGUUGGGUAAUACCCGAAAAAAUACAUAAAUCGCAAGACCACCCUGUAAGACAUCUCUCAGAGAACUGAAGUCCUUUUUGAAAAUUUCCUCUGCACUCAAGUAUUCCUGAAGUCUCCAUGGGGGAAUCCUCCAGUCUGUUGAUUCUAGUCUUCUGGCUAGUGUCAUUUCUGCAACUCCCUGCUGAUGUAGGACGAAAAAGGAUCUAGGAUCCCCGAUAAUGAAGACCCUUUGGGAAAGAAAGAAAACUCCUAUUCAAAAUCCCCUUUCUACAUGUUUCUGACCUUGUUUUGAUCUUAAAACUUUUCCAAAAACAAAAAGGAAACAAGAUAAAGUUUCUUUCCCAGAACUUCAAGACACAUUUAAAGUUAUAAUGGGAACUUUGAAAUCUAUGUCUAACUGUCAUCAGUAAUUAGAACUACAUGAAUUUUUUUGUUUUGUUUUGUUUUUUGUUUUUGUUUAGUAGGUUUGCGAGAUGUCCGUUUCUGGGGGAGAAAAAAACCCAAAACCUGUUCUAUUUGUGUGUGAGUAUUAAAACCUCUAAAUAUGUUAAAAGAGCAUAAAAGCAAUUUGUUCACCAGGCCAAUUUUUUCCCUCAAACCUUAACAUCUUUGCAUAGCCAAUUGCAUCUUAAUCUUACCACAGUCGAGCUUUUGCCAUUUCCCCAGAAGCUUGAUAACUAUUGGCACUAGGGUCUGGUUCUCAGGCUCAGGGCAGACAGACGCACCGCUGCCCAGCACACACACAGAGCUGAUGGCAGUAAUGAGAUAAUGACUUGAUAACACGCAUAUGCUCCUCGCUCCCUGAAUGCGAGCUUGGGCAAGUAUCAGUUAUGACAGAUUUGGCCCUUUAUCCAAGUCGGCCUAAACCAAGCCAGAUAUCACUGGCAAUUUUCUCCGAUGAGUAAGAUCGUUCUUACGAAGCCGCUAACUUCUGACUUCGAAAUCAUUAUUUCAAAAACAGUGUAUUUCUGCUUACAUAUUUGGUGGCAACUCUCAGUGAAAUGGCAAAACCUUUGAAGAUGCUCUUGCUAACUUGGAAGCUGGACAGUAAUCAGACAAAAUAAAAAAUGUGGUCAUAAAAAAUAUAGUUUAGAGAAGGCAACUAAGAAGUUUAUUUUACUGGGGAGAAAAGAUGAUAGUUGAUAAAAUUCUGAUUGACAGAGUAUUGCUACUACUGUGUGAGAAAGUAAGGUCACGGAGCCCCUGGGUGGCGCACUUGAUUAAGCGUCUGACCCUUGAUUUCAGCUCAGCUCAUGAUCUCACGGCUGUGAGACUGAGCCCUGCGUCA